GACGAACGCUGGCGGCGUGCUUAACACAUGCAAGUCGAACGGAAAGGCCCUGCUUUUGUGGGGUGCUCGAGUGGCGAACGGGUGAGUAACACGUGAGUAACCUGCCCUUGACUGUGGGAUAACUUCAGGAAACUGGGGCUAAUACCGGAUAGGAGCUCCUGCUGCAUGGUGGGGGUUGGAAAGUUUCGGCGGUUGGGGAUGGACUCGCGGCUUAUCAGCUUGUUGGUGGGUAGUGGCUUACCAAGGCUUUGACGGGUAGCCGGCCUGAGAGGGUGACCGGCCACAUGGGGACUGAGAUACGGCCCAGUCUCCUACGGGAGGCAGCAGUGGGGAAUAUUGCACAAUGGGCGGAAGCCUGAUGCAGCAACGCCGCGUGCGGGAUGACGGCCUUCGGGUUGUAAACCGCUUUCGCCUGUGACGAAGCGUGAGUGACGGUAAUGGGUAAAGAAGCACCGGCUAACUACGUG
Molecule: ribosomal RNA, 467 nt
Filed under: uncultured bacterium
Lineage: Bacteria
Description: partial 16S ribosomal RNA
Rfam family: Bacterial small subunit ribosomal RNA
Source: RNAcentral